UGGGGAAUAUUGCACAAUGGGGGGAACCCUGAUGCAGCCAUGCCGCGUGAAUGAAGAAGGCCUUCGGGUUGUAAAGUUCUUUCGGUGACGAGGAAGGUUGAUAGGUUAAUAGCCUAUCAAAUUGACGUUAAUCACAGAAGAAGCACCGGCUAACUCCGUGCCAGCAGCCGCGGUAAUACGGGGGGUGCGAGCGUUAAUCGGAAUAACUGGGCGUAAAGGGCACGCAGGCGGUGACUUAAGUGAGAUGUGAAAGCCCCGGGCUUAACCUGGGAAUUGCAUUUCAUACUGGGUCGCUAGAGUACUUUAGGGAGGGGUAGAAUUCCACGUGUAGCGGUGAAAUGCGUAGAGAUGUGGAGGAAUACCGAAGGCGAAGGCAGCCCCUUGGGAAUGUACUGACGCUCAUGUGCGAAAGCGUGGGGAGCAAACAGGAUUAGAUACCCUGGUA
This 445-nucleotide ribosomal RNA is filed under the name uncultured bacterium. Its description in RNAcentral is "bacterial SSU rRNA". It matches the Rfam family "Bacterial small subunit ribosomal RNA", at positions 355 to 792 of the family's 1533-position model. The record is from RNAcentral.